GGACUACUAGGGUUUCUAAUCCUGUUUGCUCCCCUAGCUUUCGUGCCUCAGUGUCAGGAGUUGUCCAGGGACUCGCCUUCGCCACUGGUGUUCCUCUCGAUAUCUACGCAUUUCACUGCUACACCGAGAAUUCCAGUCCCCCCUCCAAUCCUCUAGCCAGGCAGUUUCCAAUGCCAUUUCGGAGUUGAGCUCCGAGCUUUCACAUCCGACUUACCUAGCCACCUACGCACCCUUUACGCCCAGUGAAUCCGAACAACGCUUGGGACCUCUGUAUUACCGCGGCUGCUGGCAC
This 292-nucleotide ribosomal RNA is filed under the name uncultured Verrucomicrobiota bacterium. Its description in RNAcentral is "uncultured Verrucomicrobia bacterium partial 16S ribosomal RNA". Lineage: Bacteria; Pseudomonadati; Verrucomicrobiota. The record is from RNAcentral.